UAAAUGAGGUCUCGUUGAUGUUGGAC
This 26-nucleotide non-coding RNA is filed under the name Homo sapiens (human). The record is from RNAcentral. Lineage: Eukaryota; Metazoa; Chordata; Mammalia; Primates; Hominidae.